AUACCGAAAUCCGCGACAGCCAGCGGAGAACCCUAGGGUUCCGCCGUUGACCACCAAACAAAACAACUUACCCACCGCUCUCCGCCACGACUUUCGCCGCAGCCGCAGAGGCCAACUAGACGGGUGAGCUGAGAGUCCAUUGCAGCGAGUCCACCGACGUCCUUAACCAGAGACUCCUCCGCGAAACUCCCAUGCCGUCAAGCCGGAUCUGCAACUGCAUCGGUCAGGAAAGCAAACCCAAACCACCGUCGUCGUAGAGUUGUUCUUCCUUACCUCUAAAUCCUCCUUGCACGACCUAGACCACACAAUGAAGCCCUUGCAAAUUCAGAUCUCAGAUGAAAAAAAGAGGGAGAAACCUUCGAAAGAGAGAGAGAAAAGGAACAGUAGGAACGAUUUUCCUCUAAUUCUCUUUCGUAAAGAAUCAAGCCUACCUACCAAAUAACUAAAUACUUAUUAAAUAGGCAGUAGUAGAUUGGAUUGUUGUUAUUAAAUUUGUACAUGUGUGGGAGGAUCAUGUGCACUGACUUUUUGAUAACCCUAGCCUAAAUAUCACACAAUGUUAAGUGUAGCAUCAUUGAUCAAUCAAAACGUAGCAUCAUUGAUCAAUCAAAACACCAAAUUGUGGAAAUUGAAUUAAGCCAUGUUCUAAUUGAGUAAGAGAAUAUAACGGGAUGGCCCCAAAUUUCAUCAUUAGAGAGCUGAAAAUGUUUAUUCAUGAACCAAACAUCAAAUUCCUUCAAACUUUUCGUGAAAACUCGUGGCAAUUCUUUGGAUAGUUCAGCUUUGUGGGCGACCAGCAAAGAUUUUCUUCUUUGUAUAAAUCUCGCUCUAUCGUAGCUUAUGUUUGUGGGUUUCCGCUUUGUAGUUACUCUUUUUGCUUUGUGUUUUCUUUUUGUAGUUUUCGGACUUUAUCCGCUAUUUGUGCGUCUCUAUGAAUCUCUGUCAAAAUUUAGAAAAUACUAUAAAAUUUAACAUUCAUACCAAAAAAAAAAAAUCCUCCAAACUUACCUAUAAAAGAAUCUCCACCUCUAGGAAUAUAAAACAUUUAUUUUAUCAAACACUUUAUAGAUGUGAUACCAUAAUCUUAAAGCUAGGACGAGCGGAGGGUCGUGUUGACUAAGUCUAGACGACGAGUCGUAUUGACAAGCUAGGGUUCAUAUUCCAGGUAAAGAGAGCGGUUCAGGCCUCAUUGACAUCUGUGUUGCUCAACCUACUAUUAGGAACUUUGAACCCCGGCGAGUACUAUUGACUGCCAUGUUCGACCGUCGUAUUGACGGACCACUUAUGCUAACCUUAAGAAAAGAUAUAGAAUCGCGACUGUGUUUAGAAUAGAAAGAAACAAGGUUUAUGAAGAAGUUAGGAAGUCUGGAAAACUUAGAGAGAAGUUAAAGAGACAUUUUAGAGAGAGAGAAAGCUAUUAUGAAAUUUUUAUGAUAU
RNAcentral lists this long non-coding RNA (1437 nucleotides) under Arabidopsis lyrata. Its description in RNAcentral is "long non-coding RNA (ALYR_LNC001413)". Lineage: Eukaryota; Viridiplantae; Streptophyta; Magnoliopsida; Brassicales; Brassicaceae. The record is from RNAcentral.